ACACAAAAUGGCGACACGUGGUUAGCAUUCGUCGCCAACGAGAAAUUGGGGUCGGCCCGAAAGCUCUAGAAUGCACCCCUCUUCCUCCCCGGGGCCUUCCACCUCCGCGAGUUUUAUGACUUAAAAAAGCCCACAGGCUGGUCUGAAGGUCGGAGGCCUAAUUUUAACGCGUUUUCCUCCCUUUAAUUUGAAACGGGAACGCGAAUGACUGUAAAAUGUGGGCACAAUAUUUAAUCUCUCGCCUUUUUAAAGCUUAAUAGUGGAUAAUAGGGGGGCAGUAUCAAGGGAUAAUUUGGGUCCCCACAGUACCAAAGCAUUUAGAAACCUCUGUUUAAUUUAAGGAAUGAGAUAAGUUACUGCUUUUCUAGACUUCCUAGCAUGGGCUGUUGUGCUGGAGAGAACGAGAGCUACGAAGAGACUACAGUGCCUCUGACUUUUUCAUAGGACAGUUGGCCGAGGAAGACAAACAUAAAGAUGAAGUGCUUAAUUCAAGGUCACACAAUGUCGGGGAUGGACCUCCAGAUUUCCUUACUGGAAAACAAGCUCAGGGCUCCCACUGAUUGUACAUUAUGAGACGGAGUCUUGCUAUGUUGCCCAGGCUGGUCUUGAACUCCUCACCUCAAGCGAUCCUCCCGUCUUGGCCUCCCAAGUGUCAGGAUUACGGGCAUGUGCUAUCACACCCAACCUGAUACAUUGCCUUUAUAAAUUUUUUUUUCUUUAUUCUAAAAACCAGAAAAAACAAAACUGGAUACAUGUGCAGAACAUGCAGGUGAGACGUGGUCUUGUAACACAGUGGUUAAGAAUGUGACUUUGGAGCCAGCCUGCUAGGGGCUGAAUUCUGACUCAGCCAUUUACUAACUGUGUGACCUUAGGCUGGAGUGCAAUGGCAUGAUCUCGGCUCAUCACAACCUCUGCUUCCUGGGUUCAAGCGAUUCUCCUGCCUCAGCCUCCCGAGUACCUGGGACUACAGGCACUCGCCACCAUGCCCGGCUGAUUUUUGUAUUUUUAAUAGAGAUGGUUUCACUAUGUUGGCCAGGCUGGUCUCGAACUCCUGACCUUGUGAUCUGCCCACCUCAGCCUCGAAAAGUGCUGGGAUUACAGGCGUGAGCCACUGCGCCCAGCCUUGUAUUUUUUUUCAGUUUGGGUAGCUGUCCCUAAUUCAUUUGUUAAAGGAGAAGCAAGAGCAAGAACCUUUAAUCUGUUCUCCUCUUCCCUAAUUUGAAAGUAGCUUGUUAUUUUGAAUAUCACUUUCUCUGAAAUAGCACAUCUCCAUCUCAGAGAAUGGAUUUAAUGUUUGGAUACAGCCAAAAGUCAUUUCAUUACCAAACCAUGGGGUGAAUAUACCAUGUAAAGCAGUUUGGGAUCAGAACUCACAGUCUGAAUUGUAAGUGAUGAGACUGCUGUCUCUCUGCUACAGCUUCUUGGCUGGCUCUGAAGGCUCUUUGAAGGCAGAUCCUAACAAGGGGACUGCUUUGAAGGGCCAUUGUUCAUUUGGAAUGAUAAAGUCUAUGUUGUUCAAAAAACAAAUGCUUGUAGCAGGUAUUUUUUCACUCCAGACUGAGAAUAUUGGUGGGAUAUUGAUAAGGGGUACUGAAUGGUAAUAAACAUGUGCUCUAGCUCUGUGCUAGUCAGCUUAUUUCAGAACUCUAGUUUGAUUCAGUUUCUUGCCUCUGACUCAAAAUGGAGGGAGAGUGAUUUUUACAUAAGAGAACACACCCACAUAUCCUUUUGGCAGCAGCUACCUGCCAGAGAUGUUGAAGAAGAGUAGCCAACCUUUACACAGCAGAUAUUGUGUGCCAGUCAUAGUCCUAAGUAUAAUACCUUACAUGUAUAAACUUCUUAUAAGGUUGGUGCUCUGUACCGAAUUGAAUAGUAUCCCCCAAAAUUCAUGUUGUCCCAGAACCUAUGAAAGUGAUCUUACUUGAGGGAGGGGGGAGGGGGGAGGGAUAGCAUUAGGAGAUAUACCUAAUGCUAAAUGACGAGUUAAUGGGUGUAGCACACCAGCAUGGCACAUGUAUACAUAUGUAACUAACCUGCACAUUGUGCACAUGUACCCUAAAACUUAAAGUAUAAUAAUAAUAAAAUAAAAAAAAAAAAGAAAGUGAUCUUACUUGGAAA
This 2118-nucleotide long non-coding RNA is filed under the name Homo sapiens (human). RNAcentral describes it as "PCBP1 antisense RNA 1". The record is from RNAcentral. Lineage: Eukaryota; Metazoa; Chordata; Mammalia; Primates; Hominidae.